RNAcentral lists this ribosomal RNA (315 nucleotides) under uncultured eukaryote. RNAcentral describes it as "partial 18S ribosomal RNA". It matches the Rfam family "Eukaryotic small subunit ribosomal RNA", at positions 1470 to 1796 of the family's 1831-position model. The record is from RNAcentral.
CCCUUAGAUGUUCUGGGCCGCACGCGUGCUACACUGACCGGUGCAACAAGUUUCUUUCCUUGGCUCGAUAGGCCUGGGUAAUCUUUGAACACCGGUCGUGAUGGGGAUAGAUCCUUGCAAUUUUUGAUCUUCAACGAGGAAUUCCUAGUAAAUGUGAGUCAUCAUCUCGCGUUGAUUACGUCCCUGCCCUUUGUACACACCGCCCGUCGCACCUACCGAUUGAAUGGUCCGGUGAAGCCUCCGGAUUGCGCGCCUCCGGGCUGUCGCGAGAAGUUGGCUAAACCUUACCAUUUAGAGGAAGGUGAAGUCGUAACA